AAAAGAAUAAAAUACUUUGCGACAUGCUGUUGUUGGUGGAAAAUAAUCUUUUGUUGGGUAGGAACAGUAACUCUACUUUCUCACAUCAACCCUGUCGUUGAUUAUUUCCCCGUAACAGCACAUCCCGAAGUGUCUCAUUCCUUACACAGACUAUGUUUUUCUGUGCUUUCAUGUGCAUCUAUGUGCAAUCAGUAGCUGCUAAACGCUAACCGCAGAGCUCUAACAAAAAAGAUGAAGCAACUGGUGAAGUCAAUAUUUCAUGAGAUUCAUUACACGAAAUGCUGUGUAAAUGUGCUAAUUGCUUGUUGCAUCAUUAUAAAUUCACUUUAAUAACCGAGUGAUUUUGUCUCCAUUAGUGAAGUGCAUUAUUUAGACUGCUUCAAGAAGAGCCAAAAAUCUUGGCCUCUCUUCAAAACAUGCGGCAAAGUAAUCGUUGUGCAAAUAGUGCCAUCAGGGUGAUCUGUUCCGCGCAAUGCCAGUCAGCAGCUAGUUGUGCAUGGCGAAGAUUGAGUAGGACCAUCAACAGUCAGUCAGGCUGCCUGAGUCACUUCACUCCUCCGAGGAGUAGCAUCUCUCCGGAGUUCAGCUUCAUGGGAAGUGACAGGUUCCUUAAGAAUUUCAUUGCAUCCUGGAAGAAGCUGGCUUGGCAUGCAGUGUGGAAUAACGGAAGAGGUGCAGGUUAUUAGGAUGUAUGGAAAACAGGCAGUGUGGUGGAGUUUACAGUAUGUAGUGGGAAAACACCAAAUGUUUGGCAUGGUUGUGCACUUGCCAGGGGAAAGCCAAAAACGUAAACAUCUAUUUCUUGAAGGUGUAAAAACUCAACGUUACAGCUAUACCUCUGACUUUUACAAGCACUGACACUGGAGACUCCUCCUUAUAUAAAACUGCACUAUCAGUACAAUUGCAGACAUUUUUAAUCCGUUUAUGUAGAGUAUUCACCUGUGAACGAGUCGUUACUAUAGAAAUGAUAACAUAUUAGAGUGUACACAUUAAUAUAAACCUGCGAUUUGACAAUAUGAAGGGUAUAAUCUUUCAAAAAAAAUGUCUCUGGUUUAAUCAUAUGUUCACAAUACACUGGAUGGCAACAUUUUCCAUUUUGUUUUAACUCAUCUCAAGCUGCCAGAUGUUCUGAUUUGUGACGUGGCUCCAUUCUCACAUGAAAAAAAGGAAAGCAAGAACAAAGUAAAAAAUAAAAAUAAAAAAUAAAAAAUAAAAAUUAAAAAGUCUGAACCCACUGUCUUAGAGCUCCCCAUUUGAAUAAUCCUUGACUCUUCGAGAAGGCCGUGCUUUUUCUUUUUGGUUGGCAUCAUUUCACGCCUUAAUAGACUGCUUUGAGAAUAAAUGAGGAGAUUAUACGACACGAUCCAGUCUGGCAAACACAGUCCUGAGAAGCUGAGGUGUCGCUCCAUUAAUUGAAAUAGGGCUGUUUUACGUCCUGGGCUCUGCCAAAUGGUAUUUGUGCUGAAUGGCUGGUGCCAGCCGCUGCAUGCAGAGUUGCAGGUUCUUAUCGGGAAAACGAUGCCACUGCUGCUGAUCCCUAAAUGAGAUUUCAUCCGUGGCUUCAUGGAUUAGACGAGUGAAGAGAUUCAGUUGUCACACAUUAUCUCUGCAGUGUGUAAACAGAGAUGAAGCAGAAGCUACGUGACAGUAGACUCACAUGCCUCCACUUUUCAGUAUGAAAAAGAACAAAAACAAACAGAAGCAUGUGGCAGCAUCCAUGAUCCGGUUCAUGGAUUGAAGGUUCUAGCUUUAAUACAGAUAAAUGUCGGGCUCGAUUUGAGGUCAAAGGCAAGGGGGUGGCUUCUAUUUAUACACCGUAUCUGAAUGGACAUAUUGGGAGAUUUUCAUGUAGAGUGUUAGUAGAAAUUGUCCAAAAAUGAUAUUUCAGGCAUCCCAUUCAUCUAUCCGGUUUCAAUGCUGCUUAUCUUACACAGGGUCGUGUGAAGCAUGGAGCAUAACCCAGGGAACUCAGGACACAAGGCAGGGGACACACUGGACAUGGUGUACACAUAUAAUUAUAUAUAUUAUAUGUGUACAUUAUAACUGCUAAAACUAGCACACAUACUUCAGACUAUACUUGUUCAUGCUCGACGUAAAGUAAACAUUCUUAUUUGACCAAAAUGAAUGUCAGAAUAAUCCAUCCAUCUAUCCAUCCAUCCAUCUAUCCUCUAUACCGCUUAUCCUCUUCAGGGUCCCGGGGAACCGGGAGCCUAUCCCAGGGAGCAUCGGGAACAAGGCGGGGUACACCCUGGACAGGGUGCCAAUCCAUGUCAGAAUAAUAUCAUGUUUAAUGAGCAUUCUUCUGCACAAACAUUUAUCCCGGAUUAUGUAAGCGUUCUGUAUAUCACAACAAAACAAGAUGUCUUGUACAUAAGAAGAAAAAAAAAACAAACACUCAGGUGGCCUAGUUGCCACCUUGUUAUCAUUAGUAUAUGACAAAUCCUGAAUAAAUAUCCUGUCAUGGUAGCUCAUGGUAGGCUAAUGCUAGUCUGGACUCCUCAUGAGAGUAGGACCGUUUGCUUUUUGAGCUUAACAUUAUUGCGAAACACAACAAACGAUCCACUUUUAAAAUCACAGCCAUGUCCUUGACUCAUUGACAAAGAAAGUGAAUUUGCAAUUCUUCCACAACAAUUCACUCACGAUAAUCCUUUUUUUCCAUCACGUGCUGAAAAGCUACCGCAUGUAAUCCACUGAUUUAUAUGUUAGCUACACUGCACCAUGUUUGCUGUAGACUAUAAACUGUUGUUGUCUAUAUAACACAUAAAUAUUUAAUCUACUGAAUAAAACCUGGACGUCUAACGUAAACCGUACUGUCUUAAAGUGUACACUUAAGUCUAUAUUUAAGCUAAUUUAUUUUUAGCUCGUUGUUUUAUUUCUAUUUCAGAUGUAAUGGCUAUAAUAUGUGAAGGGAUAUUUCAGACAUGUGACCAUUCUUAAGAAAAAAAGUGUCACACCUGUAAUACAAGAUUUUAUUUUUCUCCCAGUUAUGUUUACAUCAACACACAUAUCUUAAUCUUAAUCUUAUUCAAAGGUUGAAUUUCACUCUGUCCAUGCAAUGUCACUUUCAUAAAGCUGAUAAGUAAGGAAUAGAGUACAAACAUUUGGGGACAUGUUUUUACAGGGAAAUCAUCAUGGUUCGGUGGUGUGAGAAGUUACUGCUACUUCCUGGAAGUUAAUUAUUGUCUUAUAAUUUUUAUUUACUUAUUUUUUAUACAUUUUACACUAAAGAAAUUGGCCAACGGUUUUUAUUUAUUUACUUUCUCUGCUUUCACAACAUGUGCUUUUGUUUACAUUGCCAUGUGUCUUUCUUUCUGUUUUGGUUAAGUCUCUAGUUUGUUGCCCUAGUGUGUUCACCUGUUCUGUGUUUAGUCUUUAAUUAGCUUGCAUAUAUUUAUACUCCGUGUGAGUGUGUAUGUGAUUGUGCCCUGCGAUGGACUGGCACCCUGUCCAGGGUGUACCCUGCCUUGUGCCCGAUGCUCCCUGGGAUAGGCUCCAGGUUCCCUGUGACCCUUAAAAGGAGUAAGCAGUAGAAGAUGGAUGGAUGGAUGGAUGGAUGGAUAUUUAUACUCAGUUGUGUCAUAGUUACUUUCAUAAGUAUUGUAAUGCAUUUAUUGUUAUUUUAAUUCCAAGCCAUGUUUUUGAGUUUUGUACUUCCCGAUCUUGACCUUUGUCUGUUUUUUUUAUUUAUUGUAGAUUAUCCUUGUUUAAUUUUGCCUACAGACAUUGGUAAUGAUUAUGAUUCUUGGAGUGUCUUAAAUAAAGCACACACUGAGUUAAUGCAUUUGUGUCCUGUCUAUCAGUGCACACUACAUAGAGACACCUUAAAAUUUUAACCACAAAGUUACACCUUUACCUCUGAAUUCUGUACAGUGCUGACAUUGGAGACUCCUUCCACAAAUGCUAAAUACACAUUUCUUCACAGAGCCAAUUGUAAGGUUCUGCAUCAAAAAAUAGGCUUGAUUCUGUAAUGGAAAUCACUGCAUGGGCUCAGAACCACCUCCAGAACUCACUUUCUGUGAACACAGUUCACCAUGACAUCCACAAAUGCUGGUUAAAGCUCUAUCAUGCAAGGAAGAAGCCAUAUGUGAACAUGAUCCAGAAAAGCCAUCGUCUUCCCCGGGCCAAAGCUCAUUUAAAAUGGACUGAGACUGAGUGGAAAACUGUUGUGUGGUCAGAAGAAUCACAAUUUUAAAUUCUUAUUGGAAACUAUGGACUCCGUGUCCUCUAAACUAAAGCGGACUAAAGAGGGGAGGGACCAUCCGGCUUUUUUCAUCAGCGCUCAGUUCAUAAGCCUGCGUCUCUGAUGGUUCGGGGUGCAUUAGUGCUUAUGGAAUGGAAAGCUUGCACAUCUGGAAAGGCACCAUCAAUGCUGAAAGGUAUAUACAUGUUUUAGAGCAACAUCUGCUUCCAUCCAGAUUCCAUCCCAUCUUUACUUCUGAGAGACUCUGUCUCUCUAAGAUACUCUUUUUAUACCCAAUCAUCUUACUGACCUGCUGCUACUUCACCUAAUUAGUUACAAAAUGUUCCUCCAGCUGUUUCUUUUCAGUAACCCUUACUUUUCCAGCCUUUUUUUUGUCCCUGUCCCAACUUUUUUUGAGACGUGUUGCGGCCAUCAGAUUCAAAAUCACCUUAUCUGUUUCUUUAAAUGGUACAUUUACUCACUUUAAACAUUUGUCCUAUUGUGAAUAACAUAUGGAUUGAUGCGAUUUGCAAAUCACUGCAUUCGGUUUUUAUUGACAUUUGCUUACAUUUUACACAGCGUCCCAACUUUUUUUGGAAUCGGGGUUGUAUUAGAACAAGCAUAAACCUGUGAUUUGCAGUUGACUACCGUCAGAGCUGCUGUUGCUGGAGAUUAUUAAUCACCAUCUGACCGAUCGGAAAUCAAGAAGUCGACAGCGCUGGGGUGUAAUGUUAAAUAUUUGUGAAACUGUCUUCCUCAUGCUAGGCUUGUUCAGGCAAUUAGACACUCCGAUACCAGUUUAAAUGUCACACGUGUAAUGCUGGGAUUGCCGAGAUGUGUUAAAUACAUAAAACCCCAGCUUCAGCAAAUACCUGGCAAUCCAGUUUAGCGUUUAAACUGUGCGAAGUAUUGAGGGAUAAAAAAUGGAUGGAGGUGAGCAAGGACGAGAGAGAGAGAGAGAGAGACAUUUGUGACACUGAAGGUGUUGUGAAGGUGAGAUGCUGCAGGUAUACAGUGAGAAUGGCAGGUGAUAAAUACCCCUGCCACAACACACCUCUCAUUCACACUCACAUAUCCAGAGGAAACCAUUCACAUCACGUUGUCACCAGUCUGCACGUCAUUCAGGCCACUUGUCUGCCCUCCUUCUCCUUCUCUUACAUUACCUUUUCACCUUUAAUUACAGGCACCAGCCCUCCUGCUGCUAUCCUUGUCAAUUAACCUUCCAAAAAAACACACACCCUGUUACCUAAAACAUAUAUAUAUAUAAAUAUUCUCCUAACAUUUUUUAAGCCCAUUUACCAAUGUCCUGGAGCUAUUGUUUUCUUCCUCGCUUUAUUUAUUUAUUUUCUUACAACACACACAGGAAGUGCCGCUGAACAAGACAUCCAUCACCUUGACAGAGAAAACAAAUUACACGCCGAACAGAACUUUAAUGCAUCACCCCAGCUAAUGGUGUCGAGCCUGGCUCUGGCAGGCGAAGCCCGACUCUCAGGUGUCACUAUUGUACCCGCUAAUGCCUGUCUAUCCACGCUGAGUGCAAAUAACUGACCUGCGGUAACAUCCUGAAGUAAUAUCAUCAAACAUGUGCUUCCUCAUGACUCCUAAACACAUCAUGGUUCUGCAAUGUUAACACAAUAAGUGAAUCGGUUCAUUUGCGGCUCACACCAUCACACCAUCCAUGCUGAUUCAUUUAUCAGGGGAAAAACUAUGAAGCUGGAAAGGUCAGAGCUACAGCAAGAAGUCCAGGCUUAGUAAUAAGGUUCCUCAAGGGGUCUUUGGGGGGGGUUGUUGCUUUAUAAAGGAGAUCUAAGUGCAACUUUUUUCUGUAGGGUUUAAGGCGUUAUUAGGAUACUAGAUUCAACCCAAUUUUGUACUUUGGUGAUUUUCCAGAUCGUCCUUGCAGAGGUGCCAAUAUUGUUAACAAGAAAAUUCUACCAAGCAUAGAUUUAAAAAAAAAAAACAAAAAAAAACAAACAACAACAGAAUUUUACAAUAUAUUAGCAUAUGAAAGUGGAUGACAUGGCUAUUUUUUUUUUUCAGAUGUGUAAGAAAACAGCGAGUCAAAAGUCCAAUGUGAUGCUACUUAAUAAUUAGCAGCUUCUCCACUUUUUUUACCAAGCAAAGAGAGAAUUGGCUCAGGCUUGUGAGUUUACAUCUCACCCACAAUAAGUCGUCGUAAAGAAAAAAAAUAAGUAGCUGCAACGAGAAGCAAAAGCACCUUUCACGUUUGCUUUUCUGCCAAUUAUACGGUAUUUGUGAUAGAUCUUACCGCUGCUUUAUCUGAAAAAGCAGAAAAGUGUACGUUUCAGGUGUCUCCAGUAUCACCGCAAUAGUAAAUUCUACAGCUACAUGUUGGCAUCUCCGUCCAUGCAUGGAAUGGAUCACCAGAAGCAUUCUCUAAAUAUGCCCAAGCUGCAAACAUUAUACUAUUUCCAUUAUAACUUAGAUGUGUUGCUAGAAUAAAAACUCUUAAGGGAAUAAAAUAAUAAAUUAUAAUCCUCAAGGUGUAGUUCCACCUCAUGUCCAGUGUAGGGUUACAGUGUAUACCGGUAACUACCGUGGUAGAAUUGAUAGAAGCGAGCUAGCGUUAUGCUAACCGCUGUGUGUAAAUACUAAAAUUAGCCUAAGCGAUAUAAUGUUAUGCUAACCGCUGUGUGUAAAUACUAAAAUUAGCCUAAGCGAUCUAAUGUUAUGCUAACCGCUGUGUGUAAAUACUAAAAUUAGCCUAAGCGAUCUAAUGUUAUGCUAACCGCUGUGUGUAAAUACUAAAAUUAGCCUAAGCGAUAUAAUGUUAUGCUAACCGCUGUGUGUACAUACUAAAAUUAGCCUAAGCGGUAUAAUGUUAUGCUAACCGCUGUGUGUAAAUACUAAAAUUAGCCUAAGCGAUCUAAUGUUAUGAUAACCGCUGUGUGUAAAUACUAAAAUUAGCCUAAGCGAUAUAAUGUUAUGCUAACCGCUGUGUGUACAUAAUAAAAUUAGCCUAAGCGAUCUAAUGUUAUGCUAACCGCUGUGUGUAAAUACUAAAAUUAGCCUAAGCGAUCUAAUGUUAUGCUAACCGCUGUGUGUAAAUACUAAAAUUAGCCUAAGCGAUCUAAUGUUAUGCUAACCGCUGUGUGUAAAUACUAAAAUUAACAGAAGUGAGCUAACGUUAUGCUAACCGCUGUGUGUAAAUACUAAAAUUAGUUUAUUAAUUUUGCUAAUAAGCGAGCUAACUUUCCCAAUUUUAUGAUUUUUUUGAAGUUUGUUUCCCAGUUCAGUUAUUUAUUCCUAAUGUUGUAUUCAUUCUUAGCACUCUGCGGACAAUUCCCAUUUGCAUGUUGUCCUUGCUCGAGGGAACAACAGAUUUGAAUGAUUGUUCUUGAGUUUUUCCAGCAGCCAGUUGUUCAUCCUCAUUAAUAGCGUAUUCAGAGGAAAAUUCGGUUUGUCUGUUUUCAUUUACAUCUGUGUAAAACUCCGAUUCCAAAAAAGAUGGGACGCUGUGUAAAAUGUCAAUAAAAACAGAAUGCAAUGAUUUGCAAAUUCUCAUAAACCCACCUGUUAUUCACAAUAGAACAUAGAAAACAUAUCAAAUGUUUAAACUGGGUAAAUGUACCAUUUUAAGAAAAAGAAUAAAGUAAUUUUGAAUUCGAUGGCCGCAAAUCGUUUCAGAAAAGUUGGGACGGGGGCAAUAAAUGCUGGGAAAGUAAGUGUUCGUAAAAAGAAACGGCUGGAGGUUAAUUGCCAACAGGUCAGUAACAUGAUUGGGUAUGAAAAGAAU
This is a long non-coding RNA of Ictalurus punctatus (channel catfish), 7937 nucleotides long. NCBI's taxonomy places the organism in Eukaryota, Metazoa, Chordata, Actinopteri, Siluriformes, Ictaluridae. The record is from Ensembl.